UCGAGCAGAUCGGCCUCGCCAAAAUACUCGCCGUCACCCAGCAAUGCAAUCCGCAACUCCUCGCCAUGAGGACCCUUGCUGAUGACCUCAGCCUGUCCGUUGGCCACGAUGAAGAAGCGCUGCUUGUCCUUACCUUCCUCGACAAAGAGCUUAUCCACAUCCACCUCCUGAGCCUCGAAGGCACUCACCAGACGAUGCAGAAUAUCAUCAUCAAACUCAGAGAAGAGGGGGAUGGCUUUCAGGUCUUUAGCGGUAAAAGAAGGUACACCAUUCUGGAACACGAUGGGCAGGCGGUCGUUCUUGCGAAGUUCCACCUUGGUACGGUUCACACGGAAUGUGCCACCCGAUACCUGUACCCAAGGCAGGAGCUUGAGUAGCAAACGAGGGGUGAUAGACCCCAUCUGAGGGGCGGUCUUGGUAGUGGUUGCCAGACGUCUGGCUGUAGCAGU
Molecule: non-coding RNA, 449 nt
Filed under: uncultured Prevotella sp.
Lineage: Bacteria; Pseudomonadati; Bacteroidota; Bacteroidia; Bacteroidales; Prevotellaceae
Source: RNAcentral